This is a long non-coding RNA of Oncorhynchus keta (chum salmon), 726 nucleotides long. RefSeq lists it as uncharacterized. The transcript has 3 exons. The record is from RefSeq and is a predicted model, not a curated record. NCBI's taxonomy places the organism in Eukaryota, Metazoa, Chordata, Actinopteri, Salmoniformes, Salmonidae.
ACUUAAUGGACAUUCGCAGGUGUUACCACGAUGCUGUUGUUAACACGAUGCUGUUGUUAACUUAAUGGACAUUCGCAGGUGUUACCACGAUGCUGUUGUUAACACGAUGCUGUUGUUAACUUAAUGGACAUUCGCAGGUGUUACCACGAUGCUGUUGUUAACACGAUGCUGUUGUUAACUUAAUGGACAUUCGCAGGUGUUACCACGAUGCUGUUGUUAACACGAUGCUGUUGUUAACUUAAUGGACAUUCGCAGGUGUUAACACGAUGCUGUUGUUAACUUAAUGGACAUUCGCAGGUGUUAACACGAUGCUGUUGUUAACUUAAUGGACAUUCGCAGGUGUUACCACGAUGCUGUUGUUAACACGAUGCUGUUGUUAACUUAAUGGACAUUCGCAGGUGUUACCACGAUGCUGUUGUUAACACGAUGCUGUUGUUAACUUAAUGGACAUUCGCAGGUGUUAACACGAUGCUGUUGUUAACUUAAUGGACAUUCGCAGGUGUUAACACGAUGCUGUUGUUAACUUAAUGGACAUUCGCAGGUGUUAACACGAUGCUGUUGUUAACUUAAUGGACAUUCGCAGGUGUUAACACGAUGCUGUUGUUAACUUAAUGGACAUUCGCAGGUGUUAACACGAUGCUGUUGUUAACUUAAUGGACAUUCGCAGGUGUUAACACGAUGCUGUUGUUAACUUAAUGGACAUUCGCAGGUGUUAACACGAUGCUG